GAUGAACGCUGGCGGCGUGCCUAAUACAUGCAAGUCGAGCGAACAGAUGAGGAGCUUGCUCCUCUGACGUUAGCGGCGGACGGGUGAGUAACACGUGGAUAACCUACCUAUAAGACUGGGAUAACUUCGGGAAACCGGAGCUAAUACCGGAUAAUAUAUUGAACCGCAUGGUUCAAUAGUGAAAGACGGUUUUGCUGUCACUUAUAGAUGGAUCCGCGCCGCAUUAGCUAGUUGGUAAGGUAACGGCUUACCAAGGCAACGAUGCGUAGCCGACCUGAGAGGGGAGUCGGCCACAUGGGACCGGGGACAGGGCCAAGACCCCCAGGGAGGGAGGCGGUGGGAAAUUUUCCCCAGGGGGGGAAGCCGGGCGGGGAAAAGCCCCGGGAGGGAGAGAGGGUUUCGGGGCUGAAAACCUUUUUUUUAGGGAAAAAAAAAUGGGUAAGGAAAUUUGCACAGUUUGACGGUACCUUAUCCAAAAGCCCCGGCUAACCACGUG
This 496-nucleotide ribosomal RNA is filed under the name uncultured bacterium. RNAcentral's name for it is "partial 16S ribosomal RNA". It matches the Rfam family "Bacterial small subunit ribosomal RNA", at positions 28 to 507 of the family's 1533-position model. The record is from RNAcentral.